CGCUGAAGAACAGCUUUUGAGUUCAUUGCUGAGAGCCCCCACGUGACUGGACCACUCUUUCCUGUGACUUCUGCUGGCUGCAACCUGCAUUGCAAGGAUUCUGGGAGCCUUUCACGCGCACAAUGCAAGUUGCCUGUUUAAAAUACAAGUUACCUCAAGGAUUUAAGAAUUGCUUUUCAAGAUUUCACUUUGUUUUUCAUUUAUCAUUAAUAUAUAUAGAGAAAGAUCCAUAGAACCAUUGAUGGAGGUAAGGAAACAUUAGUUUACCUCCAGUAUUUCCCUGAUUUCAUGUAACUAUCCACAAAGAGGCCUUAGGAUGGAGUUUUGCGAGCUCUAUGGCCAUUUGAAAAUCCAGC
Molecule: long non-coding RNA, 356 nt
Filed under: Cavia porcellus (domestic guinea pig)
Lineage: Eukaryota; Metazoa; Chordata; Mammalia; Rodentia; Caviidae
Description: lncRNA (ENSCPOG00000035760.1)
Source: RNAcentral